Molecule: ribosomal RNA, 350 nt
Filed under: uncultured bacterium
Lineage: Bacteria
Description: bacterial SSU rRNA
Rfam family: Bacterial small subunit ribosomal RNA
Source: RNAcentral
GGGCCCGCACAAGCGGUGGAGCAUGUGGUUUAAUUCGAUGAUACGCGAGGAACCUUACCAGGGCUUAAAUGUAAGUUGCAUAGAUCAGAGAUGGUCUUUUCUUCGGACUACUUACAAGGUGCUGCAUGGUUGUCGUCAGCUCGUGCCGUGAGGUGUCAGGUUAAGUCCUAUAACGAGCGCAACCCCCUGUCGUUUAGUUACCAGCAAGUAAUGUUGGGUACUCUAGCGAGACUGCCGGUGCAAAACCGUGAGGAAGGUGGGGAUGACGUCAAAUCAUCACGGCCCUUACGUCCUGGCUACACACGUGCUACAAUGGCCGGUACAGAGAGCAGCCACUACGCGAGUAGGAG